This 918-nucleotide ribosomal RNA is filed under the name Triticum aestivum (bread wheat). RNAcentral describes it as "partial small subunit ribosomal RNA". The record is from RNAcentral. Lineage: Eukaryota; Viridiplantae; Streptophyta; Magnoliopsida; Poales; Poaceae.
AUGGAGGCGGGCGUGGGGUUGGCGCUGCAGUCGAGGGCCGCGGGGUUCGGCUCCGGCCGCCGCCGGAGAGCGACGUACGGCGGCGAGAGCGGGGCUCGGACGGUGAGCUUGCGUGCCAGUGAUCAGGUGGGGUCGCCGGCCGCCGUGCGGGCGCGCGUGGCCAAGCCCGUCGUCCCGCUCCGCGCCAAGAAAUCGUCCGGGGGAGGUCAUGAGAACUUGCAUAACUCCGUUGACGAUGCCCUCUUGUUGAAGAGAAAAUCAGAAGAGGUUCUUUUCCAGUUGAAUGGUCGGUGCAUCUACCUAGUUGGAAUGAUGGGUUCGGGGAAAAGCACGGUCGGCAAGAUCUUGGCUGAAGUUUUGGGUUAUUCAUUCUUUGACAGUGAUAAAUUGGUCGAACAAGCUGUUGGCAUGCCUUCAGUUGCUCAAAUUUUCAAGGUUCACAGUGAAGCCUUCUUCAGGGAUAAUGAGAGUAGUGUCUUGAGGGAUUUGUCCUCAAUGCGGCGAUUAGUUGUUGCUACUGGAGGUGGUGCUGUUAUCCGACCAGUUAACUGGAAAAAUAUGAAGAAAGGACUAUCUGUUUGGUUGGAUGUGCCCUUGGAGGCUCUUGCAAGGCGUAUUGCUAAAGUGGGGACUGCCUCGCGUCCUCUUCUAGAUCAACCAUCCGGCGAUCCAUACACAAUGGCUUUCUCGAAACUCAGCACGCUCGCGGAGCAAAGGGGCGACGCUUAUGCAAAUGCUGAUGUCAGAGUUUCUCUCGAAGAGAUCGCAUCGAAGCUGGGCCAUGACGACGUCUCUAAGCUGACGCCGAUUGAUAUUGCUCUGGAGUCGCUCCACAAGAUCGAGAGCUUUGUCGUCGAAGACACCGCCGUCGCCGACCCACAAACGGAAUCGCAAGCUCAAAGGAUACAUACCUUGUAG